CCUGGCUCAGGAUGAACGCUAGCGACAGGCUUAACACAUGCAAGUCGAGGGGCAGCGGGGGUAGCGAUACCCGCCGGCGACCGGCGCACGGGUGAGUAACGCGUAUGCAACUUACCUAUCAGAGGGGGAUAAUCCGGCGAAAGUCGGACUAAUACCGCAUGAAGCAGGGGCCCCGCAUGGGGAUAUUUGCUAAAGAUUCAUCGCUGAUAGAUAGGCAUGCGUUCCAUUAGGCAGUUGGCGGGGUAACGGCCCACCAAACCGACGAUGGAUAGGGGUUCUGAGAGGAAGGUCCCCCACAUUGGUACUGAGACACGGACCAAACUCCUACGGGAGGCAGCAGUGAGGAAUAUUGGUCAAUGGGCGUAAGCCUGAACCAGCCAAGUCGCGUGAGGGAUGAAGGUUCUAUGGAUCGUAAACCUCUUUUAUAAGGGAAUAAAGUGCGGGACGUGUCCCGUUUUGUAUGUACCUUAUGAAUAAGGAUCGGCUAACUCCGUGCCAGCAGCCGCGGUAAUACGGAGGAUCCGAGCGUUAUCCGGAUUUAUUGGGUUUAAAGGGUGCGUAGGCGGCCUUUUAAGUCAGCGGUGAAAGUCUGUGGCUCAACCAUAGAAUUGCCGUUGAAACUGGGGGGCUUGAGUAUGUUUGAGGCAGGCGGAAUGCGUGGUGUAGCGGUGAAAUGCUUAGAUAUCACGCAGAACCCCGAUUGCGAAGGCAGCCUGCCAAGCCAUGACUGACGCUGAUGCACGAAAGCGUGGGGAUCAAACAGGAUUAGAUACCCUGGUAGUCCACGCAGUAAACGAUGAUCACUAGCUGUUUGCGAUACAUUGUAAGCGGCACAGCGAAAGCGUUAAGUGAUCCACCUGGGGAGUACGCCGGCAACGGUGAAACUCAAAGGAAUUGACGGGGGCCCGCACAAGCGGAGGAACAUGUGGUUUAAUUCGAUGAUACGCGAGGAACCCUACCCGGGUUUGAACGCAUUCGGACCGAGGUGGAAACACCUUUUCUAGCAAUAGCCGUUUGCGAGGUGCUGCAUGGUUGUCGUCAGCUCGUGCCGUGAGGUGUCGGCUUAAGUGCCAUAACGAGCGCAACCCUUGCCACUAGUUACUAACAGGUAAAGCUGAGGACUCUGGUGGGACUGCCAGCGUAAGCUGCGAGGAAGGCGGGGAUGACGUCAAAUCAGCACGGCCCUUACAUCCGGGGCGACACACGUGUUACAAUGGCGUGGACAAAGGGAUGCCACCUGGCGACAGGGAGCGAAUCCCCAAACCACGUCUCAGUUCGGAUCGGAGUCUGCAACCCGACUCCGUGAAGCUGGAUUCGCUAGUAAUCGCGCAUCAGCCAUGGCGCGGUGAAUACGUUCCCGGGCCUUGUACACACCGCCC
This 1379-nucleotide ribosomal RNA is filed under the name uncultured bacterium. RNAcentral describes it as "bacterial SSU rRNA". It matches the Rfam family "Bacterial small subunit ribosomal RNA", at positions 18 to 1395 of the family's 1533-position model. The record is from RNAcentral.